GCGGGUAUAGUUUAGUGGCAGAACGUGGCCUUCCCAAGGCUAAAACGGGAGUUCGAUUCUCCCUACCCGCA
RNAcentral lists this transfer RNA (71 nucleotides) under Candidatus Kaiserbacteria bacterium. Its description in RNAcentral is "tRNA-Gly". It matches the Rfam family "tRNA". From Rfam's summary of the family: Transfer RNA (tRNA) molecules are approximately 80 nucleotides in length. Their secondary structure includes four short double-helical elements and three loops (D, anti-codon, and T loops). Further hydrogen bonds mediate the characteristic L-shaped molecular structure. tRNAs have two regions of fundamental functional importance: the anti-codon, which is responsible for specific mRNA codon recognition, and the 3' end, to which the tRNAs corresponding amino acid is attached (by aminoacyl-tRNA synthetases). tRNAs cope with the degeneracy of the genetic code in two manners: having more than one tRNA (with a specific anti-codon) for a particular amino acid; and 'wobble' base-pairing, i.e. permitting non-standard base-pairing at the 3rd anti-codon position. Lineage: Bacteria; Candidatus Kaiseribacteriota. The record is from RNAcentral.